CUGUUACUACUUGCUCUUUGGGGUUACAGAGUGGGUGUCUGUACUGUUACUACCUGCUCUUUGGGGUUACAGACUGGGUGUCUGUACUGUUACUACUUACUCUUUGGGGUUACAGACUGGGUGUCUGUACUGUUACUACUUACUCUUUGGGGUUACAGACUGGGUGUCUGUACUGUUGCUACUUGCUCUUUGGGGUUACAGACUGGGAGUCUGUACUGUUGCUACUUGCUCUAUGGGGUUACAUUGCGACCACAGCUGAUGUAACAGGGCUUCAUGAAAUACAUUUGAUAGAUAGGGCUAUGCUCAAGCUACGCACUAUGUAGGGAAUAGAGUAUUUGGGAUGCCUCCUGGGAAAUAUAGCUAAUGGACUGGGCUGAAUAAGUACUUUUACGUAAGAUUUAGGGUGAACACUUCAAUUAAUAAAUCCACUUCACACCCGGUACCCGUGCCGUGUAUGGGCCCGGGGCCCGCCAAAACAUUGGAUGCUACCGGCAGAACAGGAAGAGAGCUGAGAGAUUCCCGACCACACAGCACAACGGGACAGAGAAACAGAGAGCGGUGUGCUGCAUGGACCACUGCCUGUGUAUUUUGUGUGUGGAUCUGGGGAGCCGCGCGCUGCUUUAAUUGGCCCGUGAGCCGCUCCAACAAGCUGCUCGUAUCACCCGCGGAACAUCGAACGCAGUCUAAGCAGAGAUGCCCAGACUUCCCUCUCCCCAGACACUUCCUCCAGCUCUUCCGGGGGGACACAGAGGCGUUCCCAGGCCAGCCGGGAGACAUAGUCCCUCCAGCG
This is a long non-coding RNA of Esox lucius (northern pike), 790 nucleotides long. The record is from Ensembl. Lineage: Eukaryota; Metazoa; Chordata; Actinopteri; Esociformes; Esocidae.